GACAGAGGGUGCAAACGUUGCUCGGAUUUACUGGGCGUAAAGCGCGUGUAGGCGGGCGACUAAGUCGGAUGUGAAAUCCCUGGGCUCAACCUAGGAACUGCAUUCGAAACUGGUCACCUAGAGUGAUGGAGAGGAAAGCGGAAUUCCCGGUGUAGAGGUGAAAUUCGUAGAUAUCGGGAGGAACACCGGUGGCGAAGGCGGCCAGCUGGACGAAUACUGACGCUGAGACUCGAAAGCGUGGGGAGCAAACAGG
This 253-nucleotide ribosomal RNA is filed under the name uncultured bacterium. RNAcentral's name for it is "partial 16S ribosomal RNA". It matches the Rfam family "Bacterial small subunit ribosomal RNA", at positions 524 to 776 of the family's 1533-position model. The record is from RNAcentral.